RNAcentral lists this unclassified non-coding RNA (21 nucleotides) under Chlamydomonas reinhardtii. RNAcentral describes it as "small RNA Cre_1954". Lineage: Eukaryota; Viridiplantae; Chlorophyta; Chlorophyceae; Chlamydomonadales; Chlamydomonadaceae. The record is from RNAcentral.
GGGUGGGGCCUGCAGAGCGGU